ACGUGGAGACAGUUGUGCAAUUUGGUCACAGAGUGUCCUAGGUGCUUUUGCUUCAUUGCUCCUCCACUGAAGCACGCUGGCAGCUGGCCUCCUUCCCCUGGGACUAAGGAUAUCUUGGCUGGAAGCUCUGCUCUGAAAAGGGGCAUGGCCAAACUUUCACUAGGGCUCUUCGUUGGGGAGCACGAUGGACAAAAGCCUUCUUGGGGCUAGGCAGGUCACUUCAAACUUGGAGCCGCCAAAUAUUUUGGGAAAUAGCGGGAAUGUUGGCGAACUGGGCAAGUGC
Molecule: long non-coding RNA, 283 nt
Filed under: Homo sapiens (human)
Lineage: Eukaryota; Metazoa; Chordata; Mammalia; Primates; Hominidae
Description: non-protein coding lnc-KDR-3:1
Source: RNAcentral